This 1718-nucleotide long non-coding RNA is filed under the name Felis catus (domestic cat). RNAcentral's name for it is "lncRNA (ENSFCAG00000053140.1)". Lineage: Eukaryota; Metazoa; Chordata; Mammalia; Carnivora; Felidae. The record is from RNAcentral.
AGGGAAAGCAUGCGCAAAGGUCAGGAAGUAAGAAAGAGGAUGUUGUAUUUGCAUGGUGGGCGUGACCGCUAGGAGAGACCUUUCUAGCAACAAACGUUAGUUGAGUGCCACUACGUGCUUCGGUAAUGGUGAGCCAGCCCACAGAAUGGGUUGUGCCACUCUCCAGUACUUGCUCUUCCAAUGGUAGACCUUUAUUUCUCUGUCCUCCUGCUUCUUCCUCAUACAGCUCGUACAUCGACUGGCUCCCUUCCUUGGGUUUAUUCCAUGUGUUAGCGGAAUACCAAUAACAUUGGAAGAAGCAAGAAAGAUGGACACGAGUUUCACUUUCAAGAGGUUGCCCAAGAACAAGCAGUUGGUUGAGGAGAUGGCUCCAUAGAGGAAACAACAAUUCACUCAAAGCAGCUCAAGGAAAUGGGGCGGGUCGUUGAAAAGAUACGGCCCUUGUGGGAACCUAGGAAAGGUGGAACGGCCACGUCUCAAGUGGAGAGGAACUGAGGCAAGUCGGGGAGGUAAGUGCUCUUGCUCCGGCUCGUUCUCGCUGCACCUGUUCUGUUCUAUUGCCGACCCAUCUGUCUGCCUCACUGUCGUUGCUUCAGCUCGCACGGAGGCCCGUGCAGUGACGCCACCUGCCCCACAUGAAUGCCCUCGGCGCUCCUCACCUCUGGGCACAGCAGGACACGUCUUCACCGCCAGCACCUACAACCCUUUGUUGCAGGGCAGAUCAACGGUACUAGGGAGUCCACGCCCCUGGGAGCAGGGAGCCGUCCUCAACCAAUGACCAGGAGUUAGCUCCCUCUCCUCUUGGCCAAGAUGACUCCGAGGCACACAGCUGAGUUCCCCAGCAAGAUGAAACUCCAAUUGCCCCCUCUGGAAGUGUGUUUGACUGGCUUGCUCCCUCCCCUUCUCUUCCCCGUUCCCUGACCAGUGCUUGUUGGGAUUGCCUCUCGAGUAAACUCAAGGGUCUACCUCUGCAGAAAUACCUUAAAACAGCCCAUAAUGGCCCUACCCCAGGGCUUACAUGACCAUGCAGUUUGAGGACCCCCAGCCCACUGGCACCUUCAUUCUGUCUCACCUCGUGCAAAUUCCAACGAGAGAGAUUGACCUUCUUUUUUAGUGAGAGUUAAGCUCAUCCUUUUAAGUCAGGCUGCAUUGAGAGAUGGCCGGGACGCCAUGGAUAGCCACCCCCGUCGGCUAACACCCCCGAUCCUGUCAUCUCUAGCAGGAGGGGACAGUCACAAGGUCGGUUGCUCCGUCCGCAGCUCACACUGUGCAGAACGUACCUUGAGUCUCAUCUGGGGCCAUUUGGCUUUCAGGUAACUAUCACCCAGGUGGUUGCAUGGGAAAAUCAACAGGAAAGGCUGUUUAUUGGACAUCAAAUAAUUAUUUUCAAACAGUGCUUUGAUAGGUUAAGCACAAAAGAAUCGGAAACAUAUGGAUUAAAUUUCCAUUGAAAUGCACAUUUGGGUUUGAAAAUUAACAGAAUGUGUGCUUGGGAAGGGAUUCCCCCCACUUUUCGUUUCUUUUCUUUUUUUUCUUUUCUUUUCUUUUCUUCUUCUUCUUCUUCUUUUUUUUUUUUUUUUGCUAAACCAGAUUAUUUGCAAAAUAAGUCAGGAAUUUUUCACAGCUCAAGCACCCUCCCUUCUACGCCCUGCCUCCCUUCCCUUUAGCUUUUCCCUCACAGAGUUAAUUAAUAAAAGCAACAUUUAUCAAAUAUGACA